RNAcentral lists this long non-coding RNA (897 nucleotides) under Homo sapiens (human). Its description in RNAcentral is "HSALNT0069151". The record is from RNAcentral. Lineage: Eukaryota; Metazoa; Chordata; Mammalia; Primates; Hominidae.
GUGCGCCGUUUUUUAAGCCCGUCAGAAAAGCACAGUAUUCGGGUGGGAGUGACCCGAUUUUCCAGGUGCCGUCCGCCACCCCUUUCUUUGACUCGGAAAGAAAUUCUAUGGCAGUACUGGCUGUGCCUGAGAAACCUCCUGCCACUCAAGCCCAGCAAGGUUCUUGGGAGAACAGUCCAGCAGAAUCAGUUAUCAAGUAAAAGUCACAACCAUAAGUUCAAUGCCACUGAUUCAUGCAACAGGUAGAACUAUCACAAGUCCCAUCAUCAUCUCCUCCUCUUCUGUGCUUCCUGACAGGACACAGGCAGGUUACUGAGUAGAUGGAUUGACCAGAGCUUCCUAUAAUACCAAGGAAAGUUUCACGGAGAACAUCUGGAAUUAAGUCAACUUGAGUGGAUUGAAGGAUGCAAAGUAUUUUUCCUGGGUGUGUCUGUCAGGGCGUUGCCAAAGGAGAUCAACAUUUGAGUCAGUGGCCCGGAAGAGGCAGACCCACCCUCUAUCUGGGUAGGCACCAUCUAAUCAGUUGCCAGUGUGGCUGGAAUAAAGCAGGCAGAAGAACAUGGAAGGACUUGACUUGCUGUCUUCUGGCCUUCAUCUUUCUCCUGUGGUGGAUGCUUCCUGCCCUUGAACCUUAGACUCCAGGUUCUUCAGCUUUUGGACUCUUGGACUUACACCAGUAAUUUGCCAGGGGCUGUCUCUCUAGCAUCCUUGCUCCUCAGCUUGCAGACAGCCUAUUGUGGGACUUCAAUUUGUGAUUGCAUGAGUCAAUACUUCUUAAUAAAUUCUCCUCCAUAUAUACAUCUGUCCUGUUUUUUCUGUUCCUUUAGAGAACCCUAAUUAAUACAGAUUUAUUCUCUUCCAGAUUCUUUUUAGAAAAAUUACAGAGAAUAUUGGAUU